Ribosomal RNA from Cephalotus follicularis, 118 nucleotides. The record is from Rfam. Lineage: Eukaryota; Viridiplantae; Streptophyta; Magnoliopsida; Oxalidales; Cephalotaceae.
GGGUGCGAUCAUACCAGCACUAAUGCAUCGGAUCCUAUCGGAACUCCGAAGUCAAGUGUGCUUGGGCGAGAAUGCUACUAAGACGAGCAUUGUCGUAGGACUUCCACAGUCACAAGCA